This 560-nucleotide small RNA is filed under the name Arabidopsis thaliana (thale cress). RNAcentral describes it as "ATSL085020". The record is from RNAcentral. Lineage: Eukaryota; Viridiplantae; Streptophyta; Magnoliopsida; Brassicales; Brassicaceae.
AUAUUGUGCUAAAUAGUUUGCCUUAGUAUUACAUAAACAUGAAAUAGAAGAAAGCAAGAAAAGGAGACACAUAGCAAUUCAAGAUCUUCUAAAAAAUUAGAGAAAGCGAGUCAUUCUUCAGGGGACUGUACCAUCAAAACUUACUCUGAAUAAUUAUCUGUUUCAAAUGCCUGACACUUUAUCCUUCUUGAAAGGAUAUUUUUUAUUGCCAAUAUUAAAACUUCCAAUUCCGAGUGAAAAAGAAAGGGACACCUCCGAAGACACUUUGCACCAAGUAAAAUUGUAUUGUCAAUUCCUAGGAAACACCACCAUACUAAAUUCAUAGAUGGAUCUGCCGAUUUCCAUGAAUUCAUCAAUCCUACAUCUUAAAGAUUGAAUUGGAGUUUCCAAAGUAUCCCUAAUAACACUAGAUUCAGUUGGAGCUAAUUGAGCUCCUUCUCACAUUUGUUUUUUGUUACUCCAAACGUGAUUUAAAAUAUCUGAAAUUCAACCCUUCAGUGAGACUCUUGUCUUGUACCUCUAGUACAUCUCCCAUCAUCAAAUCCUUUUGCUCAUCCUCU